CCUACGGGAGGCAGCAGUAGGGAAUAUUGGGCAAUGGGCGCAAGCCUGACCCAGCCAUGCCGCGUGCAGGAAGAAGGCCCUCUGGGUUGUAAACUGCUUUUGGGAGAGGACAAAAAGCCAAUGCGUUGGUAAUUGAGUGUACCUCCAGAAUAAGCACCGGCUAACUCCGUGCCAGCAGCCGCGGUAAUACGGAGGGUGCAAGCGUUGUCCGGAUUUAUUGGGUUUAAAGGGUGCGUAGGCGGCCAAAUAAGUCGGAGGUGAAACCCACAGGCUUAACCUGUGGAGUGCCUUCGAUACUGUAUGGCUUGGGUUAUCUCUAGGCGGGCGGAAUGGAAGGUGUAGCGGUGAAAUGCAUAGAUAUCUACCAGAACACCGAUAGCGAAGGCAGCUCGCUGGGGAUAUACCGACGCUGAGGCACGAUAGCGUGGGGAUCAAACAGGAUUAGAUACCCCAGUAGUC
Molecule: ribosomal RNA, 459 nt
Filed under: uncultured bacterium
Lineage: Bacteria
Description: bacterial SSU rRNA
Rfam family: Bacterial small subunit ribosomal RNA
Source: RNAcentral